GCCNUUCCGCGNGCNNGACGAAGGCCUUCGGGUUGUAAACUGCUUUUGCACGGAACGAAAGGGCCCUCUCUAAUAAAGGGGGGAUAUGACGGUCCCGUAAGAAUAAGCACCGGCUAACUACGUGCCAGCAGCCGCGGUAAUACGUAGGGUGCAAGCGUUAAUCGGAAUUACUGGGCGUAAAGCGUGCGCAGGCGGUUUUGUAAGACAGAGGUGAAAUCCCCGGGCUCAACCUGGGAACUGCCUUUGUGACUGCAAGGCUGGAGUGCGGCAGAGGGGGAUGGAAUUCCCCGUGUAGCAGUGAAAUGCGUAGAUAUGCGGAGGAACACCGAUGGCGAAGGCAAUCCCCUGGGCCUGCACUGACGCUCAUGCACGAAAGCGUGGGGAGCAAACAGGAUUAGAUACCCUGGUAGUCCACGCCCUAAACGAUGUCAACUGGUUGUUGGGAAUUCAUUUUCUCAGUAACGAAGCUAACGCGUGAAGUUGACCGCCUGGGGAGUACGGCCGCAAGGUUAAAACUCAAAGGAAUUGACGGG
RNAcentral lists this ribosomal RNA (533 nucleotides) under uncultured Ottowia sp. RNAcentral's name for it is "bacterial SSU rRNA". It matches the Rfam family "Bacterial small subunit ribosomal RNA", at positions 391 to 917 of the family's 1533-position model. Lineage: Bacteria; Pseudomonadati; Pseudomonadota; Betaproteobacteria; Burkholderiales; Comamonadaceae. The record is from RNAcentral.